RNAcentral lists this ribosomal RNA (253 nucleotides) under uncultured bacterium. RNAcentral describes it as "partial 16S ribosomal RNA". It matches the Rfam family "Bacterial small subunit ribosomal RNA", at positions 524 to 776 of the family's 1533-position model. The record is from RNAcentral.
UACGUAGGGCGCGAGCGUUGUCCGGAAUUAUUGGGCGUAAAGAGCUCGUAGGCGGCCUGUUGCGUCCGCUGUGAAAGCCCGGGGCUUAACCCCGGGUCGGCAGUGGAUACGGGCAGGCUAGAGGUAGGUAGGGGAGAAUGGAAUUCCCGGUGUAGCGGUGAAAUGCGCAGAUAUCGGGAGGAACACCGGUGGCGAAGGCGGUUCUCUGGGCCUUAACUGACGCUGAGGAGCGAAAGCGUGGGGAGCGAACAGG